This 437-nucleotide ribosomal RNA is filed under the name uncultured bacterium. RNAcentral describes it as "partial 16S ribosomal RNA". It matches the Rfam family "Bacterial small subunit ribosomal RNA", at positions 29 to 507 of the family's 1533-position model. The record is from RNAcentral.
AGCGAACGCUGGCGGCAGGCUUAACACAUGCAAGUCGAGCGGGCAUCCUUGUGGUGUCAGCGGCAGACGGGUGAGUAACGCGUGGGAACGUGCCCUUCGGUUCGGAAUAACUCAUGGAAACUUGAGCUAAUACCGGAUACGUGCGAGAGCAGAAAGGUUUAUCUGCCGAAGGAUCGGCCCGCGUCUGAUUAGCUAGUUGGUGAGGUUAUGGCUCACCAAGGCGACGAUCAGUAGCUGGUCUGAGAGGAUGAUCAGCCACACUGGGACUGAGACACGGCCCAGACUCCUACGGGAGGCAGCAGUGGGGAAUAUUGGACAAUGGGGGCAACCCUGAUCCAGCCAUGCCGCGUGAGUGAUGACGGCCUUAGGGUUGUAAAGCUCUUUUCUCCGGGACGAUAAUGACGGUACCGGAGGAAUAAGCCCCGGCUAACUUCGUG